RNAcentral lists this ribosomal RNA (253 nucleotides) under uncultured bacterium. RNAcentral's name for it is "partial 16S ribosomal RNA". It matches the Rfam family "Bacterial small subunit ribosomal RNA", at positions 524 to 776 of the family's 1533-position model. The record is from RNAcentral.
UACGUAGGUGGCAAGCGUUAUCCGGAAUUACUGGGCGUAAAGCGCACGCAGGCGGCUCGCUAAGUCUGGCGUGAAAGAACCUGGCUUAACUGGGGGAGGUCGUUGGAGACUGGCGGGCUUGAGGACAUGAGAGGGGUGCGGAAUUCCCGGUGUAGUGGUGGAAUGCGUAGAGAUCGGGAGGAACACCAGUGGCGAAAGCGGCACCCUGGCAUGAACCUGACGCUCAGGUGCGAAAGCGUGGGGAGCGAACGGG